Molecule: long non-coding RNA, 283 nt
Filed under: Mytilus galloprovincialis (Mediterranean mussel)
Lineage: Eukaryota; Metazoa; Mollusca; Bivalvia; Mytilida; Mytilidae
Source: RNAcentral
UAUUUUUCUUUUUUGUUAUCUAUCAUACGAUUGGUUGUAUUUGUGGAUGUUUCAAACAGGAAGUCUUAUCUAUGACUAAAAGUCAGUCUGAUGACGGAAUCAUUUCCGGACUCCUUUUUUUUGGUUUUUCUCCCAAAAUAACUCAAUCUGAAUAAUCAUAAGAAUGGAUGACAAAUGCGACUAUGCAUGUUACCUAUAGGACACAGAGGCAUGAUGAUUGAUUUAUUGUGGAAGGAAGAGAAGCGACACCCAAAAUGAGGUCUUCUCGUUUAAUAGUAUAGAU